Molecule: long non-coding RNA, 102 nt
Organism: Sapajus apella (tufted capuchin)
Lineage: Eukaryota; Metazoa; Chordata; Mammalia; Primates; Cebidae
Exons: 3
Source: RefSeq, a predicted model, not a curated record
CCUCACGCCCUGUCCUGAGCUCUCCCACUGUCACCCUUGUGUUGCUCUUCCAGUUUCUGUGACAGUGGGCCUGCCCCCUCUGCAAACACAGAUGGGGAAAGU